AUUGAACGCUGGCGGCAGGCCUAACACAUGCAAGUCGAGCGAGCGGCGGACGGGUGAGUAAUGUAUGGGGACUGCCCGAUAGAGGGGGAGAACUACUGGAAACGGUAGCUCAUCCCGCAUACUAUCGGAUAACCCCUGUGGGGGUAGCUAGUGGGUGAGGUAAUGGCUCACCUAGGCGACGAUCCCUAGCUUGUCUGAGAGGAUGAUCAGCCACACUGGGACUGAGACACGGCCCAGACUCCUACGGAGGCAGCAGUGGGGAAUAUUGCACAAUGGGCGCAAGCCUGAUGCAGCCAUCCCGCGUGUAUGAUGAAGGCCUUCGGGUUGUAAAGUACUUUAAGCAGAGAAGCGUUAUCUGCAGAAUAAGCACCGGCUAACUACGUGCCAGCAGCCGCGGUAAUUC
Molecule: ribosomal RNA, 403 nt
Filed under: uncultured bacterium
Lineage: Bacteria
Description: partial 16S ribosomal RNA
Rfam family: Bacterial small subunit ribosomal RNA
Source: RNAcentral